RNAcentral lists this non-coding RNA (55 nucleotides) under uncultured Symbiodinium. The record is from RNAcentral. Lineage: Eukaryota; Dinophyceae; Suessiales; Symbiodiniaceae.
GGAAGUCCGGACUUCACCAAGCAAGGUGACGGAUGACUGCCAUGGAGUCCCCAUU